Molecule: ribosomal RNA, 339 nt
Filed under: Argas sp.
Lineage: Eukaryota; Metazoa; Arthropoda; Arachnida; Ixodida; Argasidae
Description: partial small subunit ribosomal RNA
Source: RNAcentral
AUUAUUAAUAAUAGUUAUAUUGGUAGUAUACAUAAUGUGUGAAAUCAAAAGAUUUUGGCGGUAUUUUAAGCUUUUUAGAGGAAUUUGCUCUAUAAUUGAUAUUACACCUACAUCUUACUUAAAUUGGCUAGGUCAGUUUGUAUAUCGCUAUUUUUAUAACUAUAUUGGAUGAUAAUAGUUGAAAUGGAUUUUUUUCUAAAUUUUAGGUCAAGAUGCAGCAUAAAUUUAAGGUUGAAGUGAAUUAUGAUAAUUUUUAUUGGGUAGAAAUGAAAAAAGAUUAAGAUUUAAAAGUAAGAUAGUAUUAUAAUGAUUAUUUGAAUGAAGCUCUAAAAUAUGUAC